CCUGGUAGUCCACGCCGUAAACGAUGUCGACUUGGAGGUUUUGCCCUUGAGGCGUGGCUUCCGGAGCUAACGCGUUAAGUCGACCGCCUGGGGAGUACGGCCGCAAGGUUAAAACUCAAAUGAAUUGACGGGGGCCCGCACAAGCGGUGGAGCAUGUGGUUUAAUUCGAUGCAACGCGAAGAACCUUACCUACUCUUGACAUCCAGAGAAGUUAGCAGAGAUGCGAUCGUGCCUUCGGGAACUCUGAGACAGGUGCUGCAUGGCUGUCGUCAGCUCGUGUUGUGAAAUGUUGGGUUAAGUCCCGCAACGAGCGCAACCCUUAUCCUUUGUUGCCAGCGGUCCGGCCGGGAACUCAAAGGAGACUGCCAGUGAUAAACUGGAGGAAGGUGGGGAUGACGUCAAGUCAUCAUGGCCCUUACGAGUAGGGCUACACACGUGCUACAAUGGCAUAUACAAAGAGAAGCGACCUCGCGAGAGCAAGCGGACCUCAUAAAGUAUGUCGUAGUCCGGAUUGGAGUCUGCAACUCGACUCCAUGAAGUCGGAAUCGCUAGUAAUCGUGGAUCAGAAUGCCACGGUGAAUACGUUCCCGGGCCUUGUACACACCGCCCGUCACACCAUGGGAGUGGGUUGCAAAAGAAGUAGGUAGCUUAACCUUCG
Molecule: ribosomal RNA, 658 nt
Filed under: Citrobacter sp.
Lineage: Bacteria; Pseudomonadati; Pseudomonadota; Gammaproteobacteria; Enterobacterales; Enterobacteriaceae
Description: bacterial SSU rRNA
Rfam family: Bacterial small subunit ribosomal RNA
Source: RNAcentral